GGUGUGAGAAAAAGCUGGAGGCCAGGAAAGGUAAGGAAAUAAAUUCUCUCCUAUAGCUCCCAGAAAGAACACACAGCCUUGCGGACACACUGAGUUUAGGACUUCUGACCUCCAGAACUGUAAAAGAAUAAAUUUGUGUCAUUUUAGACUGCUGCAUUUGUGAUAAUUUGUUACAAGAGCCAUAGAGAAGUAAUACAGACAAGAGUUUUAUGCUCUGUGGGAUAUUCGACUCAGAGGUCUGGUAAGCAAUUGGACAGAUCUGUCUGAUGCUCAGCAGAGAGGGGAAGACCGGGGCAUUGAGAAUGGAGAAGCACCAACAUUGAACUGGUGCUGGAAGCAAGGUGCCUGGCAGAGAAUCCAUGGAUGGGAGUGAAGAGAAGAGUUCCCCAAAUAGAAUGUAGGGCAACCCUAACCUUUAGGGAUGGAUAACAACAAAGAAAACUGAGUAAAUCAUCCAUAUCUGAGUUCAUUAGAAUGAAGAAUUAAAAUACUUUUCCAGCUUGUCACCAGGGACUCACUAACAAGCCACAAUAACCCAGUUUUCUAGCCCUGCUUACAAGUGCUGAUUGCCACCAGAGACUAAGGUCAAAUGCCAGAAGCCACAAACUCCAAACAAGCCUCCAUGACCCAAUUUUUGACUGGUUUGAUCCAGUUCAGACUCUGUGCUAACCCUCCAGAUGACCGUGGGAUUAUUACCACCUGCAGUAAAACCUUAGAUGGCGAGUAACUUGUUCUGUGAGUGUUCCACAACAUGAGCAAACAUUUCUAAUAAAUUUUAACUUGAUAAACGA
Long non-coding RNA from Leopardus geoffroyi (Geoffroy's cat), 791 nucleotides. RefSeq lists it as uncharacterized. The transcript has 3 exons. Lineage: Eukaryota; Metazoa; Chordata; Mammalia; Carnivora; Felidae. The record is from RefSeq and is a predicted model, not a curated record.